This 341-nucleotide unclassified non-coding RNA is filed under the name soil metagenome. Its description in RNAcentral is "partial contains 5.8S ribosomal RNA, internal transcribed spacer 2, and large subunit ribosomal RNA". The stretch from base 1 to 120 matches the Rfam family "5.8S ribosomal RNA", at positions 35 to 154 of the family's 154-position model. The record is from RNAcentral.
GAUGAAGAACGUAGCGAAAUGCGAUAAGUAGUGUGAAUUGCAGAAUUCAGUGAAUCAUCGAAUCUUUGAACGCACAUUGCGCCCCUUGGUAUUCCAUGGGGCAUGCCUGUUCGAGCGUCAUUUGUACCCUCAAGCUUUGCUUGGUGUUGGGUGUUUGUCCCGCGCUCUUUUGCGCAAGACUCGCCUUAAAUCAAUUGGCAGCCGGCAUGUUAGCCUGGAGCGCAGCACAUUUUGCGCCCCUUGCUUGCUUGUGUUGGCCCCCAUCAAGUCCGUAUAUUUGCUCUUGACCUCGGAUCAGGUAGGGAUACCCGCUGAACUUAAGCAUAUCAAUAAGCGGAGGA